CCUACGGGAGGCAGCAGUGGGGAAUUUUGGACAAUGGGCGCAAGCCUGAUCCAGCAAUGCCGCGUGAGUGAAGAAGGCCUUCGGGUUGUAAAGCUCUUUUGUCAGGGAAGAAACGGGUCUUUCUAAUACAGAGGUCUAAUGACGGUACCUGAAGAAUAAGCACCGGCUAACUACGUGCCAGCAGCCGCGGUAAUACGUAGGGUGCAAGCGUUAAUCGGAAUUACUGGGCGUAAAGCGUGCGCAGGCGGUUUUGUAAGUUUGUCGUGAAAUCCCCGGGCUCAACCUGGGAAUGGCGAUGAAGACUGCAAGGCUAGAGUUUGGCAGAGGGGGGUAGAAUUCCACGUGUAGCAGUGAAAUGCGUAGAUAUGUGGAGGAACACCGAUGGCGAAGGCAGCCCCCUGGGUCAAAACUGACGCUCAUGCACGAAAGCGUGGGGAGCAAACAGGAUUAGAUACCCUGGUAGUCCACGCCCUAAACGAUGUCUACUAGUUGUCGGGUCUUAAUUGACUUGGUAACGCAGCUAACGCGUGAAGUAGACCGCCUGGGGAGGUACGGUCGCGAGAUAACUACAAUAGAGUAGAGCGUGAGAGNGACGACGGACGACGACGAGGGAGGAGG
This 618-nucleotide ribosomal RNA is filed under the name uncultured bacterium. RNAcentral describes it as "bacterial SSU rRNA". It matches the Rfam family "Bacterial small subunit ribosomal RNA", at positions 338 to 1533 of the family's 1533-position model. The record is from RNAcentral.